UACGGAGGGUGCAAACGUUGCUCGGAAUCAUUGGGCGUAAAGCGCACGUAGGCGGCGCGUUAAGUCGGAUGUGAAAGCCCCGGGCUCAACCCGGGAAGUGCAUACGAAACUGGCGCGCUUGAAUAUGGAAGAGGGUCGCGGAAUUCCCGGUGUAGAGGUGAAAUUCGUAGAGAUCGGGAGGAACACCAGUGGCGAAGGCGGCCGGCUGGGGGUGACCUGACGCUGAGGCGCGAAAGCGUGGGGAGCGAACCGG
RNAcentral lists this ribosomal RNA (253 nucleotides) under uncultured bacterium. Its description in RNAcentral is "partial 16S ribosomal RNA". It matches the Rfam family "Bacterial small subunit ribosomal RNA", at positions 524 to 776 of the family's 1533-position model. The record is from RNAcentral.